UACAGAGGGUGCGAGCGUUAAUCGGAAUUACUGGGCGUAAAGCGCACGUAGGCGGCUUUGUAAGUUAGAGGUGAAAGCCCGGGGCUCAACUCCGGAAUUGCCUUUAAGACUGCAUCGCUAGAAUUGUGGAGAGGUAAGUGGAAUUCCGAGUGUAGAGGUGAAAUUCGUAGAUAUUCGGAAGAACACCAGUGGCGAAGGCGACUUACUGGACAGAUAUUGACGCUGAGGUGCGAAAGCGUGGGGAGCAAACAGG
This 253-nucleotide ribosomal RNA is filed under the name uncultured bacterium. RNAcentral describes it as "partial 16S ribosomal RNA". It matches the Rfam family "Bacterial small subunit ribosomal RNA", at positions 524 to 776 of the family's 1533-position model. The record is from RNAcentral.